GAUGAACGCUGACAGAAUGCUUAACACAUGCAAGUCUUUGGCGAAGCUGUGCUUGCACAGCCUAGCCAAGGCGGACGGGUGAGUAACGCGUAAGGAACUUGCCCUGCAGUCAGGGAUAACAGACGGAAACGACUGAUAAGACCUGGUAAAGUCAGGCGGACUCAUGUCCAGCCUGAUGAAAAGAGAUGCUGCAGGAGAGCCUUGCGUCCUAUUAGCUUGUUGGUGGGGUAACGGCCCACCAAGGCGAUGAUAGGUAGCCGGCCUGAGAGGGUGGACGGCCACAAGGGGACUGAGAUACGGCCCUCACUCCUACGGGAGGCAGCAGUGGGGAAUAUUGGACAAUGGGGGCAACCCUGAUCCAGCAAUUCUGUGUGCACGAUGAAGGUUUUCGGAGUGUAAAGUGCUUUCAGCAGGGAAGAAAAAAAUGACGGUACCUGCAGAAGAAGCGACGGCUAAAUACGUG
RNAcentral lists this ribosomal RNA (463 nucleotides) under uncultured bacterium. RNAcentral's name for it is "partial 16S ribosomal RNA". It matches the Rfam family "Bacterial small subunit ribosomal RNA", at positions 28 to 507 of the family's 1533-position model. The record is from RNAcentral.